AGAAGAAGGGGAGAGGAGGUUGUGUGGGACAAGGUGCUCCUGACAGAAGGAUGCCACAGCUGAGCCUGUCCUCACUGGGCCUUGGGCCAGUGGCAGCAUCCCCCUGGCUGCUCCUGCUGCUGGUCGGGGCCUCCUGGCUCCUGGCCCGCAUCCUGGCCUGGACCUACACCUUCUAUGACAACUGCCGCCGCCUCCGGUGUUUCCCGCAACCCCCGAAACGGAAUUGGUUAUUGGGUCACCUGGGCCUGGUCACCCCCACGGAGCAGGGCAUGAGGGUCCUGACUCAGCUGGUGGCCACCUACCCCCAGGGCUUUAAGGUCUGGAUGGGCCCCAUCUUCCCCGUCAUCCGUUUUUGCCACCCCAACAUCAUCCGGUCUGUCAUCAACGCCUCAGCCGCCGUUGCACCAAAGGACAAGGUCUUCUACAGCUUUCUGGAGCCCUGGCUGGGUGAGUAUCUGCAGGUGAACAGGGUUGGGAACAACCUGGGGGGCCGGGGAGAGAGAUGCCCUUGAGCAUGGCCCUUGGCUGCCCUGCCAGGGGAUGGGCUCCUGCUGAGUGCUGGUGACAAGUGGAGCCGCCACCGUCGGAUGCUGACGCCCGCCUUCCAUUUCAACAUCCUGAAGCCCUACAUGAAGAUUUUCAAUGAGAGUGUGAACAUCAUGCAUGCCAAGUGGCAGCUCCUGGCCUCAGAGGGUAGUGCCCUUCUGGACAUGUUUGAGCACAUCAGCCUCAUGACCUUGGACAGUCUGCAGAAAUGUGUCUUCAGCUUUGACAGCCAUUGCCAGGAGAAGCCCAGUGAAUAUAUUGCCGCCAUCUUGGAGCUCAGUGCCCUUGUGACAAAAAGACACCAGCAGAUCCUCCUGUACAUAGACUUCCUGUAUUAUCUCACCCAUGAUGGGCAGCGUUUCCGCAGGGCCUGCCGCCUGGUGCAUGACUUCACAGAUGCCGUCAUCCAGGAGCGGCGCCGCACCCUCCCUAGCCAGGGUGUUGAUGACUUCCUUCAAGCCAAGGCCAAAUCCAAGACUUUGGACUUCAUUGAUGUGCUCCUGCUGAGCAAGGAUGAAGAUGGGAGGAAGUUGUCUGAUGAGGACAUAAGAGCAGAAGCUGACACCUUUAUGUUUGAGGGCCAUGACACCACGGCCAGUGGUCUCUCCUGGGUCCUGUACCACCUUGCAAAGCACCCGGAAUACCAGGAGCGCUGUCGGCAGGAGGUGCAAGAGCUUCUGAAGGACCGUAAGCCUAAAGAGAUUGAAUGGGAUGACUUGGCCCAGCUGCCCUUCCUGACCAUGUGCAUUAAGGAGAGCCUGCGGCUGCAUCCCCCAGUCCCUGCCGUCUCUCGCUGCUGCACCCAAGACAUUGUGCUCCCAGACGGCCGGGUCAUCCCCAAAGGCGUUAUCUGCCUCAUCAGUGUUUUUGGAACCCAUCACAACCCAGCUGUGUGGCCGGACCCUGAGGUCUAUGACCCCUUUCGCUUUGACCCAAAGAACAUCAAGGAGAGGUCAUCUCUGGCUUUUAUUCCCUUCUCAGCAGGGCCCAGGAAUUGCAUCGGGCAGGCCUUCGCGAUGGCCGAGAUGAAGGUGGUCCUGGGGCUCACGCUGCUGCGCUUCCGCGUCCUGCCUGACCACACCGAGCCCCGCAGGAAGCCGGAGCUGGUCCUGCGCGCAGAGGGCGGACUUUGGCUGCGGGUGGAGCCCCUGAGCUGAGUUCUGCAGAGACCCACUCUGACCCCACUAAAAUGACCCCUGAUUCAUUAAAAGUGAAGCCUAGAAUUACCCUAAGACCCUGUUCCACAGUCCUGUAUUCCAUCCUAGAUAUCUACUCAAAAUAAUUGAGACAAGUGUUCAAACAAAAAGACGCUUGUGCGUGAAUAUUCAUGGCAGCCCUAUUCACAGUAGCCAAACGAUGAAAACAACCCCAAGGUAUAUAUUAGCAGAUGAAAGGAUAAACAAAAUGUGAUCCAUCCAUGCAAUGGAAUAUUACACAGCCAUAAAAAGGAAUGAAGCAGUGAUCCCUACUACACUGUGGAUGAACCUUGAAUACAUGAUACUGAAUGAAAGAUGUCAGAUGCAAAAGGUCA
This 2077-nucleotide small RNA is filed under the name Pongo abelii (Sumatran orangutan). RNAcentral's name for it is "retained intron". The record is from RNAcentral. Lineage: Eukaryota; Metazoa; Chordata; Mammalia; Primates; Hominidae.